Molecule: RNA transcript, 3234 nt
Organism: Scylla paramamosain (green mud crab)
Lineage: Eukaryota; Metazoa; Arthropoda; Malacostraca; Decapoda; Portunidae
Gene: Nhe3
Gene name: sodium/hydrogen exchanger 6-like
Exons: 15
Source: RefSeq, a predicted model, not a curated record
UGUGGCAGCAGUUGUAAACAGUCGCCAUGGCGGGCGGAGGGGGAGGCGGCCUUCUCGCUAUUUCCAUAGUAUCUCUGCUGAAUUAUGUGAUAGCUAAGCCGUCAACGGGGACAGAUAUUGUUCUAGAUGAAAAAGUUUUAACUACUCAUCGAAUUGACAGUUUAAAUAUAUUAUUAUAUACGUUCUUGUUAAUUCUGACUGUGGUGACAAUCUGGAUCUUCAAGUAUCGGCGGGCGCGGUACCUGCACGAGACCGGCCUGGCUGUCAUCUAUGGAUUAAUAGUGGGUGCCAUCUUGAGGUACAGUGGAGACAACACUUCACUGAGUCAUAUGAGAGUCAUUGCAGCACCAGGAGAAGGAUAUAAAGAAAAUGUUCCUCCAGACACACUGUGGUUCAAAUAUGCUUAUGCAAACAGUAGUCAAAAUAGAACAUAUGCAUACUCUUUCAAAGGAGAGAUCCCAGAGACACUUGAAACUGAAAUUGUUCAAAAGGCUACUUUUGAUCCAGAGAUUUUCUUCAAUAUACUCCUUCCUCCCAUCAUAUUCAGUGCUGGCUACAGUCUUAAAAGGAAACAUUUUUUCAAAAACUUAGGGGCCAUUUUCACUUUUGCCUUUCUGGGAACAACAAUAUCAACAUUUGUUGUUGGUGGUAUCGUGUAUGGUUUAUUGUACCUGCUUGGAUCGUCAAUGACCUUCAUUGACAGUCUGCUGUUUGGGGCAUUGAUAUCAGCAACUGAUCCUGUAACAAUUUUGGCUAUCUUCUCUGAUCUUCAUGUUGAUGUUAAUUUGUAUGCAUUGGUGUUUGGAGAAAGUGUCUUAAAUGAUGCUGUCGCAAUUGUUCUAACAAGUGCAAUAGAAAGUUACGGAGGCACAAGUGGAGGAUUUGAAACAUCGGCUUUCUUCUUGGCCAUCGUUAACUUCCUGUGGAUCUUCAGCAUGUCUUUCAUCAUUGGCUCAGUAAUGGGUUGCCUUACUGCCAUCCUCACAAAGUUCACCCGCUUGAAGGAUUUCCCUCUUCUGGAGGCAGCACUCUUUGUCCUCAUGUCAUACUCUACAUUCCUCAUGGCAGAAGCUGCUGAUUUAACAGGAAUUGUUGCUGUGUUAUUCUGUGGAAUAUGUCAAGCACAUUACACCUACAACAACUUGUCAACUGAAAGUCGCAUAAAUACAAAGGCCAUCUUUGAAUUACUUAAUUUCUUAUCAGAAAAUUUCAUCUUUUCAUACAUUGGAGUCUCAAUGUUUACCUUUGCUCACCACAAGUGGGAUGUUAGUUUCAUCCUUAUAGCUUUUAUAGCUAUCAUAAUUGGAAGAUUCAUGAAUAUAUAUCCAAUGUCCUGCUUGCUCAACAUUGGACGACAGCCAAAAAUACCUCUGAAUUUCAUGAAUAUGCUGUUCUUCUCAGGCCUUAGAGGGGCCAUUGCCUUUGGCUUGGCCAUCCGCAACACCAGCAGUGAUUCUCGCAAAUCCAUAUUGACCACAACCUCCCUUAUUGUCAUAGUCACCGUUAUACUCUGUGGAGGACUAACUACUCAAGUCCUAUCAUGGCUGGGCAUUCCUGUUGACGUUGAUGAUGAUGAGACCCACCACCUCAACCAGUUCCAGCCUAUCAGAAAUAGUUACAAAAGCAUUGAUGGUACAAGGGGUCCUGGAGUGGAAGAGGGAGGAGAAACCGCAACAGACUCGAACAAAUUUGAGAAAGCAUGGCUCCUUCGUAUCUGGUCACAGUUUGAUGUGCGAUAUAUGAAGCCCUUCUUAACUAACAGUCGACCUACACUUUUGGACACAACGCCUCUGUGUUGUGCCCCUCUCGCCAGGCUACUGACAACAACAGAGCAGUUAACACAGGAUCACAAUCCUCUUAAUGAUGACAUGCUUGACGACACACUAAUUGGAUCCGGAGGAGUGCGUACCUCCAUAGAUUCUUCAAGGCAGGAUGGACUCAUCGGCUCUGGCGCCCGGGCACUAAAGCGGGAGCGUGACUGUGGGGAUAACCAUAGCCAACUCAGUAUUGAUGCCCAGAAUUUCAUGUAACUAACAACCCUGUUCAUCAACCAUCACCACAACCACUACUUACUCCUGCUAGCACUCCCACCACCAUGGAACUACUAACUACUGAACGACCAGACUGAAUGUAACUAACCCAGUGUAUGAUGGGGACUUAGGCCUGGGUUCUGCAGGAAGUGUGGCCACUCGUGUGUCUGUGGCCGGGUCUCGAGGCCAAGAUCUGUGAAUAAUUAUUGACUGCUCUGGUGAAGCAUAUCUUAUCCAUCUUUGCCUGCAUUGAAAAAUCCAUGGCUUCUGCUGACUGGUGUAAAUAUGACAAAAAACUGUUUCCAUGAAAUGACAAAUGUGACAUUCUAGAAAUAUAUCUGAAAAUGUUGAAAUAUGUGUUGCAAAGGACUCAAGACAUCUCUCAAUGUGUUGAAAAAUUUUGUGUGAAAAGUUGUCAAAAGCAGUGUGAGUGUACAUUGACAAUGGUGUAUCAGUGUUAAUUAUUCGCAUAAGUGGUGUUUGAGUGUCACUGUGCAGUUCACCCAUGUCCUAUACAGUGCUGCAAAAGUAAAUAUGUGCUCAACACUAGUUUCAAAUCACUUGCAUUGCAUUCUGAUUACAAGAUGGUCUUAUAAGCUUUUUUGUUCAUAGAAUUACAGAGGGUGAUACAUGGUAUUCAUGCUAAAUUGUAUACUGUACAAUAGUAAAUUACAGAGUUGAAUAUUUUUAUUAGUAAUAAUAUUUCUUUUUCAUAAUUUCAUGUGAUGAAUUAAUUCAUUCUUUGUGGUUGUGCAGUAUAAUAUUGUGCAUCUGCAUAUAGUAAUGUCAUAUACAGAAUGUAAAUAUGUUUUUGUUUUUAACUUAAGUAAUCUUAUAUAUUUUCAUGAUGUUCAUAAUAAAUUAUCACUGAUACUAGAAAAACCUUCAGAUGGGGAAAAGUUCACUCAAGUUCAUUCUAAUUCAUAAUCUCAUGCAGGUGUUCAUGUUCAUGAUAAGGGACAUCACACACACACACACACACACACACACACACACACACACACACACACACACACACACACACACUCAGUCAUAUCCAAAGAUUGGUCACUAUGAGCUCUGAGCUCUUUCCGUAGGGGAAUGGCUGGCUGGGUGACCAGCAGACGACCGUAGGUGAAUCACACACACACACACACACACACACACACACACACACACACACACACACACACACACACACACACACACACACACACACACACAU